AGAGUUUGAUCCUGGCUCAGGAUGAACGCUAGCGGCAGGCUUAACACAUGCAAGUCGAGGGGUAACAGGGAGCUUGCUCCGCUGACGACCGGCGCACGGGUGCGUAACGCGUAUAGAACCUACCUUUUACAGAGGGAUAGCCUUUAGAAAUGAAGAUUAAUACCUUAUGGUAUUGUAGACUGGCAUCAGUUUAUAAUUAAAGAUUUAUCGGUAAAAGAUGGCUAUGCGUCCUAUUAGCUAGUUGGUAAGGUAACGGCUUACCAAGACAGCGAUAGGUAGGGGUCCUGAGAGGGAGAUCCCCCACACUGGUACUGAGACACGGACCAGACUCCUACGGGAGGCAGCAGUGAGGAAUAUUGGACAAUGGAGGAGACUCUGAUCCAGCCAUGCCGCGUGUAGGAAGAAUGCCCUAUGGGUUGUAAACUACUUUUAUACAGGAAGAAACACUGGUAUGUAUACCAGCUUGACGGUACUGUAAGAAUAAGGACCGGCUAACUCCGUGCCAGCAGCCGCGGUAAUACGGAGGGUCCGAGCGUUAUCCGGAAUCAUUGGGUUUAAAGGGUCCGCAGGCGGUCGAUUAAGUCAGAGGUGAAAUCCCAUAGCUCAACUAUGGAACUGCCUUUGAUACUGGUUGACUUGAGUCAUAUGGAAGUAGAUAGAAUGUGUAGUGUAGCGGUGAAAUGCAUAGAUAUUACACAGAAUACCGAUUGCGAAGGCAGUCUACUACGUAUGUACUGACGCU
This 742-nucleotide ribosomal RNA is filed under the name uncultured bacterium. RNAcentral describes it as "bacterial SSU rRNA". It matches the Rfam family "Bacterial small subunit ribosomal RNA", at positions 8 to 747 of the family's 1533-position model. The record is from RNAcentral.